UCUUGUUCACCUUGCAAAUUCCUGAUUUUGUGAGAUCUUGGCAGCUAAGCAGGGUUGGGCCUAUUUAGUACUUGGAUGGGAGACUGCUGGGAAUACCAGGUGACACUAGAC
RNAcentral lists this ribosomal RNA (111 nucleotides) under Periophthalmus magnuspinnatus. Lineage: Eukaryota; Metazoa; Chordata; Actinopteri; Gobiiformes; Gobiidae. The record is from RNAcentral.